RNAcentral lists this ribosomal RNA (1505 nucleotides) under Staphylococcus aureus. RNAcentral's name for it is "partial 23S ribosomal RNA". It matches the Rfam family "Bacterial large subunit ribosomal RNA", at positions 1317 to 2817 of the family's 2925-position model. Lineage: Bacteria; Bacillati; Bacillota; Bacilli; Caryophanales; Staphylococcaceae. The record is from RNAcentral.
ACGGGUGAGAAUCCCGUCCACCGAUUGACUAAGGUUUCCAGAGGAAGGCUCGUCCGCUCUGGGUUAGUCGGGUCCUAAGCUGAGGCCGACAGGCGUAGGCGAUGGAUAACAGGUUGAUAUUCCUGUACCACCUAUAAUCGUUUUAAUCGAUGGGGGGACGCAGUAGGAUAGGCGAAGCGUGCGAUUGGAUUGCACGUCUAAGCAGUAAGGCUGAGUAUUAGGCAAAUCCGGUACUCGUUAAGGCUGAGCUGUGAUGGGGAGAAGACAUUGUGUCUUCGAGUCGUUGAUUUCACACUGCCGAGAAAAGCCUCUAGAUAGAAAAUAGGUGCCCGUACCGCAAACCGACACAGGUAGUCAAGAUGAGAAUUCUAAGGUGAGCGAGCGAACUCUCGUUAAGGAACUCGGCAAAAUGACCCCGUAACUUCGGGAGAAGGGGUGCUCUUUAGGGUUAACGCCCAGAAGAGCCGCAGUGAAUAGGCCCAAGCGACUGUUUAUCAAAAACACAGGUCUCUGCUAAACCGUAAGGUGAUGUAUAGGGGCUGACGCCUGCCCGGUGCUGGAAGGUUAAGAGGAGUGGUUAGCUUCUGCGAAGCUACGAAUCGAAGCCCCAGUAAACGGCGGCCGUAACUAUAACGGUCCUAAGGUAGCGAAAUUCCUUGUCGGGUAAGUUCCGACCCGCACGAAAGGCGUAACGAUUUGGGCACUGUCUCAACGAGAGACUCGGUGAAAUCAUAGUACCUGUGAAGAUGCAGGUUACCCGCGACAGGACGGAAAGACCCCGUGGAGCUUUACUGUAGCCUGAUAUUGAAAUUCGGCACAGCUUGUACAGGAUAGGUAGGAGCCUUUGAAACGUGAGCGCUAGCUUACGUGGAGGCGCUGGUGGGAUACUACCCUAGCUGUGUUGGCUUUCUAACCCGCACCACUUAUCGUGGUGGGAGACAGUGUCAGGCGGGCAGUUUGACUGGGGCGGUCGCCUCCUAAAAGGUAACGGAGGCGCUCAAAGGUUCCCUCAGAAUGGUUGGAAAUCAUUCAUAGAGUGUAAAGGCAUAAGGGAGCUUGACUGCGAGACCUACAAGUCGAGCAGGGUCGAAAGACGGACUUAGUGAUCCGGUGGUUCCGCAUGGAAGGGCCAUCGCUCAACGGAUAAAAGCUACCCCGGGGAUAACAGGCUUAUCUCCCCCAAGAGUUCACAUCGACGGGGAGGUUUGGCACCUCGAUGUCGGCUCAUCGCAUCCUGGGGCUGUAGUCGGUCCCAAGGGUUGGGCUGUUCGCCCAUUAAAGCGGUACGCGAGCUGGGUUCAGAACGUCGUGAGACAGUUCGGUCCCUAUCCGUCGUGGGCGUAGGAAAUUUGAGAGGAGCUGUCCUUAGUACGAGAGGACCGGGAUGGACAUACCUCUGGUGUACCAGUUGUCGUGCCAACGGCAUAGCUGGGUAGCUAUGUGUGGACGGGAUAAGUGCUGAAAGCAUCUAAGCAUGAAGCCCCCCUCAAGAUGAGAUUUCCCAA